UACGGAGGAUGCGAGCGUUAUCCGGAUUUAUUGGGUUUAGAGGGUGCGCAGGCGGCGUGUCAAGUCAGCGGUAAAAUGUCGGGGCUCAACCCCGGCCGGCCGUUGAAACUGGCGUGCUCGAGUUGGAGAGAAGUAUGCGGAAUUCGUGGUGUAGCGGUGAGAUGCAUAGAUAUCACGAAGAACCCCGAUUGCGAAGGCAGCAUACCGGCUCCACACUGACGCUGAGGCACGAAAGCGUGGGUAUCGAACAGG
This 252-nucleotide ribosomal RNA is filed under the name uncultured bacterium. Its description in RNAcentral is "partial 16S ribosomal RNA". It matches the Rfam family "Bacterial small subunit ribosomal RNA", at positions 524 to 776 of the family's 1533-position model. The record is from RNAcentral.